Molecule: ribosomal RNA, 384 nt
Filed under: Escherichia coli
Lineage: Bacteria; Pseudomonadati; Pseudomonadota; Gammaproteobacteria; Enterobacterales; Enterobacteriaceae
Description: partial 23S ribosomal RNA
Rfam family: Bacterial large subunit ribosomal RNA
Source: RNAcentral
UUGUGGCUGGGGGUGAAAGGCCAAUCAAACCGGGAGAUAGCUGGUUCUCCCCGAAAGCUAUUUAGGUAGCGCCUCGUGAAUUCAUCUCCGGGGGUAGAGCACUGUUUCGGCAAGGGGGUCAUCCCGACUUACCAACCCGAUGCAAACUGCGAAUACCGGAGAAUGUUAUCACGGGAGACACACGGCGGGUGCUAACGUCCGUCGUGAAGAGGGAAACAACCCAGACCGCCAGCUAAGGUCCCAAAGUCAUGGUUAAGUGGGAAACGAUGUGGGAAGGCCCAGACAGCCAGGAUGUUGGCUUAGAAGCAGCCAUCAUUUAAAGAAAGCGUAAUAGCUCACUGGUCGAGUCGGCCUGCGCGGAAGAUGUAACGGGGCUAAACCAUG